Molecule: ribosomal RNA, 460 nt
Filed under: uncultured bacterium
Lineage: Bacteria
Description: partial 16S ribosomal RNA
Rfam family: Bacterial small subunit ribosomal RNA
Source: RNAcentral
CCUACGGGAGUCAGCAGUGAGGAAUAUUGGGCAAUGGACGCAAGUCUGAACCAGCCAUGCCGCGUGCAGGAAGACGGCUCUAUGAGUUGUAAACUGCUUUUGUACGAGGGUAAACGCAGAUACGCGUAUCUGUCUGAAAGUAUCGUACGAAUAAGGAUAGGCGAACUCCGUGCCAGCCGCCGCGGUAAUACGGAGGAUUCAAGCGUUAUCCGGAUUUAUUGGGUUUAAAGGGUUCGUAGGCGGUCGGAUAAGUUAGAGGUGAAAUCCCGAGGCUCAACUUCGGAAUUGCCUCUGAUACUGUUCGGCUAGAGAGUAGUUGCGGUAGGCGGAAUGUAUGGUGUAGCGGUGAAAUGCUUAGAGAUCAUACAGAACACCGACUGCGAAGGCAGCUUACCAAGCUACUUCUGACGUUGAGGCACGAAAGCGUUGGGAGCAAACAGGAUUAGAUACCCGUGUAGUC